Drosophila albomicans is the source of this 1002-nucleotide RNA transcript. It is a transcript of the gene named vasotab-TY2-like, with no coding region annotated. The transcript is spliced from 3 exons. NCBI's taxonomy places the organism in Eukaryota, Metazoa, Arthropoda, Insecta, Diptera, Drosophilidae. The record is from RefSeq and is a predicted model, not a curated record.
ACUAUUAAUUGAAUUUAGUGAUUCUAGCUGUCAUCAUGAAAAUCUACUUUGCGUUGAUCGGUCUGCUGCUUUGCUGCACUUUGACACUCGCUCAAAGGAGGAAUUGUCCUUCCGUCUGCACUUUGGAAUAUAAUCCUGUCUGCGGAGAGGCCAAUGUUCGAGGACAACAAGUUCGCUGCCAGUUCUCCAAUCCAUGUGUUAUGACUAGCAGUGGUUGUCGCAACGGCAUCAACUGGCGAUCAACUAGCUGUGGAAUUACUUCACCCCAAUGCUCGAGCCUUGUUUAAUAAUAAGAGUUCAAAGAACAACCUAUUAAAAAAAAAAACAAAUCUAAAAGAAAUUUUCAUAUUCAUUUGGCUAUUUGUUAUGAGAGGUUUUUAUUAAGCAACUUCCGUUGCUAAUGCACUUCGAUAUAGAUUAUAUAGUUUAUAAACUGUCAUUAUACCAUGAAAUUUGAAUUUUCUCAGAAAUAUAUAAAUAGAAAUGCAUUUUGACUUUUAAAAUUAGUUCAAAUUCGAUAUCUUAACUAUCAACAUGAAAAUCUUCUUUGCAUUGUUCGCUCUCCUAAUUUGUUGCAAUUUAAAAACAGCUAUUGGUAGCAAUUGCUACCAGAAAGCCUGUCUCCCUGACAACCCCCCCGCAUGUCGUUGUAAUCCGAGAAACGAAUAGGAUUAUACUACAUUCCUUGCAAAGAUUAACCAACGGCCUAUUUACUUAAAAUGUGCACCACGAAUUAUAAUUAUAAUUAUAAAACUUAUAUAACAUAGGCUAUUUUAUUUUUCUUACUUCCGAUCGAUAUAAAUUCUGUAAUUGAUAAAUUGCGUUGUACCAAGUAAUAUCAAUAUCACACUGAAAUUCAACAACUGCAAUAAACAAAAAUGUAAAUAAAACAAAACGUAUUCGAUCUUGUAACUAUCAACAUAAAAGUCUGCUUUGCCAUCGAUCGUUUUACAAAUUUGUUAGUUAAUGAAAAUAAAAAGAAUUUUAUGUAUACUUAGAUUA